Molecule: long non-coding RNA, 217 nt
Filed under: Mytilus galloprovincialis (Mediterranean mussel)
Lineage: Eukaryota; Metazoa; Mollusca; Bivalvia; Mytilida; Mytilidae
Source: RNAcentral
AAUGAACUUAAAAUAUUUUUUUGCCUUUGAGCAAUUCACUAUGCAGUUGAAUAUUAAUCCUCUCAAAAAAAUGUUUGAAGAAAUUUUUCUUUUUUUUAUGAAAUCUGAAAUGAGACAAGUUUACCCCCCCCCCCCCCCCAUUUUUUUUCACAUCCCCCUUUCCCUUUUUCCAAAACUGAUCUCAAUUCAAAUUUCUAAUGGAGUUUGCAACAAUAAC